Peromyscus leucopus (white-footed mouse) is the source of this 853-nucleotide long non-coding RNA. RefSeq lists it as uncharacterized. Lineage: Eukaryota; Metazoa; Chordata; Mammalia; Rodentia; Cricetidae. The transcript is spliced from 2 exons. The record is from RefSeq and is a predicted model, not a curated record.
GCGCAAUCCAGAGGAAAGAAUGGGUUUAAGGAUCUUUCCUACAGAUAAGACCUCCCUCCACAGGACCAGCACCCUCAAGAAAAUAAGUGUGUGUGUGUGUGUGUGUGUGUGUGUGUGUGUGUGUGUGUGUGUGUGUGUGUGCCUUUUACAAUAAGCCUUAUAAACACAGUCACAGGAAGGAAUGCCUUCCAAGAAUUCAGAGCCUGGGUCUCUAGUACCAGUGCGGGACCUUUAGUGAGCGCGGGUGGCUAGUGUGCUGUGGGGUUGGCAAUGAGGGGAACCGGGAGGAGGAGAGGAAAGGCUUCCGACACCCGAUCCCAGCCUUCCGCACAAGCCUCUGCAAAGCCCUGGGGUGGCAGCUGAACCCCGCGGCUGUGCACACACACACGGGAGGAGCCACCAGCGACGAUCGGGGACCAGGACCCCGCGGGAUGAUCCUCACCGGGGGGCACUGCACCCCCGGACCGCCACCCGAACCCUAGCCUAACUCGGAGAGCAGAGCAGAGGGAGCCGAGAGAGCCGCGCAGGGGCGGUGUCGCCACGGCGCGGGGAUUUCGAGAGAAGAUGGAUUCCUGUUACUUACGUCUGCGACCACGUACCUUUAAAAAAAAUAAAUAAAUAAAAGACUACAACCGGAAUCCAGACUGUCAGGGAACCUGUACCACAAACACCAUCUUUGUUGCAGGCAAAAGCCCUGGACAGGAAGUGCUGUAGCCAUCUUUGUGGAGGGCAGGGGAAGGAAGUGUGGUAGCCAUCUUUGUUGAGGGCCCAAGAGGUCAGGUGGACGCUUUCUCCGCCAUGGUUGCUGUGGGUAAAAGAGACAAUCACGCCUAGACUUUAAAAAAAAAAAAAA